This is a long non-coding RNA of Alexandromys fortis (reed vole), 771 nucleotides long. RefSeq lists it as uncharacterized. The record is from RefSeq and is a predicted model, not a curated record. The transcript is spliced from 3 exons. Lineage: Eukaryota; Metazoa; Chordata; Mammalia; Rodentia; Cricetidae.
AAAGAGACAAGGGAGCUGUGCUACCUCUGUAUUCGUUGGAGACCUUCAUUUGACUGGUGUUGCCUCUGCCUCGUGGCCUUCACGCCUCUUCUCUGUUGUUCCGAGCUCAUGCAUGCCUGCGGAGGUGACAGACCGGGAGACCAGACUGCUAUAUUCUCUGGGAAGCAGCAGGAGGUGGAAUAUGGGUCCAGAAAGGGCUCCAGGAAGAGGCAGCCCUGAAGGGAGCCAUCAGGACAGAAGAGUUAUACAACCACAGCCUCGGAGGACCUCCUUCAGUUCACCUCCCUGUAUUAGAAAUUAGAAAGGAUGAGAAGCUGCAAUUUCCCCGAGGCCAAAGCCAGCCAUAUCCAUCCCCUCGUGGACAUCUCGGUUCUCGUGAUCUGCAAAACAGAAGCAGGAGACAAAAGCAAAGGCUGUCCACCUCUCCAGGAGGGGAGCAAGAAUGAGCAGAAGCUGUGGGUUUACAGCCUAGGUUUCUCUUCUCCUUAACAAGACUCUGGCCCCACGCCCUGGACGCCUCAUCGGUGGCGGCAGCUGAGGCAAAUGGAUUUAUCCUUUGAGGACUGCAAGCUGUUGCCCUUCACAUCAAAGGAACGCCGCUAUCCAGACUCUCAAAACACGUACAUCGCUUUUUUCUUUAGUUCCUUUCUGCUCUUUUUGCUGUCUGGUAUUUUGGAGCAAAGCAUGGUGGUCAUCAAUUAAUCUUAAUUUUUCUCCCCUCCCUUCCUUCCUACUUUCUAAUUUUCCUUUCCUUCCUUCCUCUUUCUUCCU